RNAcentral lists this ribosomal RNA (502 nucleotides) under uncultured bacterium. RNAcentral describes it as "bacterial SSU rRNA". It matches the Rfam family "Bacterial small subunit ribosomal RNA", at positions 27 to 518 of the family's 1533-position model. The record is from RNAcentral.
GGAUGAACGCUGGCGGCGUGCCUAAUACAUGCAAGUCGUACGAGGGAAGGUCCAGCUUGCUGGACGGAACGAGUGGCGAACGGGUGAGUAAUACGUAAGCAACCUGCCUGCAAGGACUGGGAGUAACACCUGGAAACGGGACGCUAAUACCGGAUAGGUAACAAAGGGGCGAUCCCUAUGUUAUUAAAGGUUAGAAACACAAGCAGAUGGGCUUACGGUGCAUUAGCUAGUUGGUGAGGUAACGGCCCACCAAGGCGAUGAUGCAUAGCCGGCCUGAGAGGGUGAACGGCCACAUUGGGACUGAGACACGGCCCAGACUCCUACGGGAGGCAGCAGUAGGGAAUUUUCGGCAAUGGACGAAAGUCUGACCGAGCAACGCCGCGUGAGUGAAGAAGGUUUUCGGAUUGUAAAGCUCUGUUGUAAGGGAAGAACAGCACGGAAAGAAUCCGUGAAUGACGGUACCUUACCAGAAAGCCACGGCUAACUACGUGCCAGCCGCAGC